This 1291-nucleotide long non-coding RNA is filed under the name Homo sapiens (human). RNAcentral's name for it is "HSALNT0083452". The record is from RNAcentral. Lineage: Eukaryota; Metazoa; Chordata; Mammalia; Primates; Hominidae.
GGCGGGCUCGGGGUGGGUUGCCGCGGUGUCUGCACCGCUCCCCGCGGGCCCCUGGUCUGGGAAGUUUGUUCUCUUCUUCAGGGAGCUUAUGCGACAAGCCGGAUUUCACAGGCCCUACAAAGCGCGUUGAGUCCCCUCGAAGCUCUCGGCGCCACCAGAACCCGCUGGAGGGCUGCCUGGAGGUGGUGAUGGAUCCAAGGGGACACAGCGGAGUCAGCGGCCGGGAUGGAGGCGACGGAGAGCACGUCUGGUCGCCUGAGUCCCAUCCCACAGAAAAGCCCCUGGUGAAAAACUUCUCUGGUGGGUGAAGAUCAGUGAUGGCCCGAAAUCAUCUCGGUGUUCUGAAGCCUAGGAAAGCUGUUGGCCUGGCACCGGGGCCACUUCCUACAAGAACUGGCAGCCUCAGGCGGAAUGUUUGAGGGCAGCUGACCUGAACAGACUGAUCCGUCUGCCUGGAAGAUUCUUCUAACUCAGCUGGAGAAUGGCUGCUCAAUAAUGCAGGUAUUUUUCUGUAUUUACUUGUCACUUGCUACCCACGUGGAUGUUAAAGUGACCAGGAGCCACACCUGAGGCCUCUCGUGAAUGAACGGAGCUACUUCUGUGUCAGGUUUUGGGGUUCCACAGGCAUGAGCAGGCCAUGGGUCAGGCUGGUUCUGGCAUGGCUGUGGUCGGCCCACUUCCACAGACCACCACCGCAUGCUGUCCAUCUAUCCACCGGAGAUGGCCGCAGUGGGGACCAGGACAAGAGGACAAAUGAGGCCCUGUGUGUCUGAACACUGACCACUUGUAAAUCAGCUGCUAGAUACAAUGUGCUUAUACACAACAUGCUUAUCCUCCUGCCUUGGAAAAUACGUUUUCAAAUGAGAGAAAUCACAAAAUAUGUGCAAAGCAUGAUUUGCAUGGAAGUCAUCAACAUAUCAAAAGAGGACCAGAUUUAAUGAUUCUUAUGUACGUCUGGCAUUCUAUUCUGAGGGGGUAGCAAUGUUAGGAUUUGCAAAAAAAUACAGACAGAAUAAUUCAUAAAGUACAUAUUUAUCCUAUGAAAUAUUUUGCCUUUAAAAAAAUAGAAUCACUCCAUAUCCUGUAGCAAUCAAGAUUUUCACAUAAUUUGUGUUUUGACAAUAGUGGUUCAAAAAUUAAAAAGUGAUCCUUCUCAAAGCAUACAUUUAAAUAUAUCUUCAUCAAAAAUUGAUAGCAAAUCAAAUGUAAGAAAUAAAAAUAACUAAAUUAUUUGUGAUUUUCCAAAAAAAUUUUUCUUCUAGCAUAUUCAAAGCUUUCUAUUAAAAUUUAA